Molecule: transfer RNA, 73 nt
Filed under: Trichonephila inaurata madagascariensis
Lineage: Eukaryota; Metazoa; Arthropoda; Arachnida; Araneae; Nephilidae
Rfam family: tRNA
About the family: Transfer RNA (tRNA) molecules are approximately 80 nucleotides in length. Their secondary structure includes four short double-helical elements and three loops (D, anti-codon, and T loops). Further hydrogen bonds mediate the characteristic L-shaped molecular structure. tRNAs have two regions of fundamental functional importance: the anti-codon, which is responsible for specific mRNA codon recognition, and the 3' end, to which the tRNAs corresponding amino acid is attached (by aminoacyl-tRNA synthetases). tRNAs cope with the degeneracy of the genetic code in two manners: having more than one tRNA (with a specific anti-codon) for a particular amino acid; and 'wobble' base-pairing, i.e. permitting non-standard base-pairing at the 3rd anti-codon position.
Source: Rfam by way of RNAcentral
GUCCCUGCAGCGCAAUGAAUAGCGCUUUGGGCCUCUAAUCCAAAGCUCUUGGGUUCGAAUCCCAUCUGGGAUU